GAUGAACGCUGGCGGCGUGCCUAAUACAUGCAAGUCGAGCGAACAGACGAGGAGCUUGCUCCUCUGACGUUAGCGGCGGACGGGUGAGUAACACGUGGAUAACCUACCUAUAAGACUGGGAUAACUUCGGGAAACCGGAGCUAAUACCGGAUAAUAUAUUGAACCGCAUGGUUCAAUAGUGAAAGACGGUUUUGCUGUCACUUAUAGAUGGAUCCGCGCCGCAUUAGCUAGUUGGUAAGGUAACGGCUUACCAAGGCAACGAUGCGUAGCCGACCUGAGAGGGUGAUCGGCCACACUGGAACUGAGACAAGGUCCAGACUCCUACGGGAGGCAGCAGUAGGGAAUCUUCCGCAAUGGGCGAAAGCCUGACGGAGCAACGCCGCGUGAGUGAUGAAGGUCUUCGGAUCGUAAAACUCUGUUAUUAGGGAAGAACAAAUGUGUAAGUAAAUAUGCACGUCUUGACGGUACCUAAUCAGAAAGCCACGGCUAACUACGUG
This 497-nucleotide ribosomal RNA is filed under the name uncultured bacterium. Its description in RNAcentral is "partial 16S ribosomal RNA". It matches the Rfam family "Bacterial small subunit ribosomal RNA", at positions 28 to 507 of the family's 1533-position model. The record is from RNAcentral.